GUGUACCCGCGGCAAGACGGAAAGACCCCGUGAACCUUUACUAUAGCUUGACACUGAACAUUGAGCCUUGAUGUGUAGGAUAGGUGGGAGGCUUUGAAGCGUGGACGCCAGUCUGCGUGGAGCCGACCUUGAAAUACCACCCUUUAAUGUUUGAUGUUCUAACGUUGGCCCCUUACCGGGGUUGCGGACAGUGUCUGGUGGGUAGUUUGACUGGGGCGGUCUCCUCCCAAAGCGUAACGGAGGAGCACG
This 249-nucleotide ribosomal RNA is filed under the name Klebsiella quasipneumoniae subsp. similipneumoniae. RNAcentral describes it as "partial 23S ribosomal RNA". It matches the Rfam family "Bacterial large subunit ribosomal RNA", at positions 2064 to 2312 of the family's 2925-position model. Lineage: Bacteria; Pseudomonadati; Pseudomonadota; Gammaproteobacteria; Enterobacterales; Enterobacteriaceae. The record is from RNAcentral.